GCGAGACCGUCUGCUGCUUUUGUUCGCCCGUGAUCGAGGCCCUGCUCUCCUCCAGCGUCCCCGCUUUUGCCGUGUGACAGGACUACUGUGGCUUUUAGGGCUCGGACGUGCGACACAAUCCCUUUCCCGGAUAUGGCUUUCCACGCCUCAAAGAGCUCGGUGCUGUUUUUUAGCAGAUUCUAUUGCUUUUUAACUUAGAAACCUGGCGCAACAAUCGGAUAUUGACGACCGUCCAAUUGUGGCGUCCGGUUUUUCCGGUAGGUGCUGCGUGCGUUGCUCAAAAACUGCACCGAUUCCUAUCAGGGGUGUUUCUCCACCUCCAUCUGCUGGCAAGUGAACUGCGCCACCCAGCAUUGCUUGCCCCCUUAGUCCUGCAACACGCUAAAAAGCCUGACAUUCUCUUUCACCUACUGCCCUGAUCUGGAGGCGCAAUCAACCAUGGAGACCGACUCUCCCGCACGCACUUCCACUCCCUGAGCCAGGAACCAAUACUAAAUCGGAAUUACUGGGCGUAAAGCGCACGCAGGCGGUCUGUCAAGUCGGAUGUGAAAUCCCCGGGCUCAACCUGGGAACUGCAUUCGAAACUGGCAGGCUAGAGUCUUGUAGAGGGGGGUAGAAUUCCAGGUGUAGCGGUGAAAUGCGUAGAGAUCUGGAGGAAUACCGGUGGCGAAGGCGGCCCCCUGGACAAAGACUGACGCUCAGGUGCGAAAGCGUGGGGAGCAAACAGGAUUAGAUACCCUGGUAGUCCACGCCGUAAUUUGCUACAGCUAAACCUCCAACACGGGAACUCCGCACCGAAGGCCUCGAUUGCGCAAUUUAGCUGGCGGACCCCUCAUGCCGGCGUUCCAAUUUUGAGUUUACUUAACUGCCCCCGGGCGUGUUCGCCACCUCGUACACCAAAUUAAGCUACGUUGCGCUUCUUGGAAUGGACCAGAACUGUAGGUGUCUUGAAAGGUCUCUACCUAACCACGGAAGCCCUUGACACUCUGUCCACGACGUACCGACAGCAGUCGAGCACAACACUUUACAACCCAAUUCAGGGCGUUGCUCGCGUUGGGAAUAGGAAACAACGGUCGCCAAUCCGGCCCUUGAGUUUCCUCUGACGGUCACUAUUUGACCUCCUUCCACCCCUACUGCAGUUCAGUAGUACCGGGAAUGCUGGUCCCGAUGUGUGCACGAUGUUACCGCGUAUGUUUCUCUUCGCUGGAGCGCUCUCGUUCGCCUGGAGUAUUUCACGCAGCAUCAGGCCUAACCUCAGACGUUGAGCUGAGGUACUUCAGCCUUAGCGAUCAUUAGCAUCUAGUCUUACGAUGCCACUUAUGCAAGGGCCCGGAACAUGUGUGGCGGGCAGUGUGGUACCCUCACCCAACGUUUUCUUCAUCCAUCGAAUUGGAAGCC
RNAcentral lists this ribosomal RNA (1398 nucleotides) under Salmonella sp. VII. RNAcentral's name for it is "partial 16S ribosomal RNA". The stretch from base 499 to 777 matches the Rfam family "Bacterial small subunit ribosomal RNA", at positions 547 to 873 of the family's 1533-position model. The record is from RNAcentral. Lineage: Bacteria; Pseudomonadati; Pseudomonadota; Gammaproteobacteria; Enterobacterales; Enterobacteriaceae.